ACGGAGGGGGCUAGCGUUGUUCGGAAUUACUGGGCGUAAAGCGCUCGUAGGCGGAUUGGUCAGUCAGAGGUGAAAGCCCAGGGCUCAACCUUGGAAUUGCCUUUGAUACUGCCAGUCUUGAGUUCGGGAGAGGUGAGCGGAAUUCCGAGUGUAGAGGUGAAAUUCGUAGAUAUUCGGAGGAACACCAGAGGCGAAGGCGGCUCACUGGACCGAUACUGACGCUGAGGAGCGAAAGCGUGGGGAGCAAACAGG
This 252-nucleotide ribosomal RNA is filed under the name uncultured bacterium. Its description in RNAcentral is "partial 16S ribosomal RNA". It matches the Rfam family "Bacterial small subunit ribosomal RNA", at positions 525 to 776 of the family's 1533-position model. The record is from RNAcentral.